This 413-nucleotide unclassified non-coding RNA is filed under the name soil metagenome. Its description in RNAcentral is "partial contains 5.8S ribosomal RNA, internal transcribed spacer 2, and large subunit ribosomal RNA". The stretch from base 1 to 120 matches the Rfam family "5.8S ribosomal RNA", at positions 35 to 154 of the family's 154-position model. The record is from RNAcentral.
GAUGAAGAACGCAGCGAAAUGCGAUAAGUAAUGUGAAUUGCAGAAUUCAGUGAAUCAUCGAAUCUUUGAACGCACCUUGCGCUCUUUGGUAUUCCGAAGAGCAUGCCUGUUUGAGUGUCAUGAAAAUAUCAACCUUGACUUGGGUUUUGUGCUCUAGUCUCGGCUUGGAAUUGGGUGCUUGCCGCUUUUACGAGCGGCUCACCUUAAAUGUAUUAGCUGGAUCUGUCUUUGAGACUUGGUUUGACUUGGCGUAAUAAGUAUUUCGCUAAGGACAUUCUUCGGAGUGGCCUCGUUUCUAGGACGCUUGUCCGCUUGCCAAUACAAGUUCCACCUCGUGGACAUGACUUUUUAUUAUCUGGCCUCAAAUCAGGUAGGACUACCCGCUGAACUUAAGCAUAUCAAUAAGCGGAGGA